CACUUACCCAGUUCCAUAGCUUUAAACAUCAUCUCUGUUCUGUACAAUAGGUAGCCAACACCAUGUAUGACAAGCUGAUACUUGAAAUGUUGCUGGUUGUAAUUAAAUGAACUGUAAGUGUAAAAUAUACACCAGAUUUCAAACUUAGUAUGAAAAGAAUAUAAAAUCUUUUUUUAAUUUUUAUACUGAUUACGUGUUAAAAUGAUAGGAUUUACAUAUAUUGGGUCAAAUAGAAUAAAAUGAAUUUCACCUGCUUUUACUUUUUAACAUGGCUGGUACAAAAUUUUAAAUUAUGUAUAUGGCUUACAUUAUAUUUCUGUUUAUCGGUGCUGAUUUACAUGCUGAUGCCUCCAAAAUAAUCUGCAUUUCAGACUCCUAUUCCAACUGCCUAUAUGACAUCUCUACGUGGAUAACUAAUAGGCAUCUCAAAUCUUACAUAUCCAAAACAGAAUCCUUGAGUUCUCUCACACAUGUCAUACUUGUUCCUUCCUGAUUGCUCCCCAGCAAAGUAAAUAGCACAUCUCUUUGCCAGUUGUUAGCCACAAACCCAGGAGUCAUCCUGAUGGCUUCCUUACCUCAUCACCCAUAACUGCUCCGUCAUUGUAGUUGUCUUGUCAGCUUUCUUCCAAAACAUAUCCUGAAUCUAUUCAUGACCUCCACUACCACUAUAUUUAAAAGACAAGUAUCAUCCACACAACUGCAACUGACCUUUACAUUUUUUUUGCUGUUUUUUAAUGAGAAAUACAUACACCUAGUAUGACAUUCAAACAGGACCAAAGAGAACACAGCUCAAGGCAAGUCCUCCCCCUCCCAGUUCUCUUGGGAAGUAAUCACCAUCACUAGCUUCCUUUGAAUCUUUCAAGAGAUAUCCCACACAGUUUUUUUUUCUUCCAACCUGACAAUAUAGUGGAGAUAUUGUCUUCAUUUUCUGUUACAGAUGCAAAGAAUUCUGUUGUAUGGAUGUGUUAAAUUUAGCAAGUCCCCUAUUGAUAGACAUUUAAGUUGUUUCCAAACUGCUAUAUGUAGUCCUGCAGUGAAUUGCCUAGACAACAGCCAUUUCACAUUUACCUGUAGGAUAAAUUCCUAAAAGUAGAAUUGCUAAGUCAAACAGGUAUACUUUUAAAAUUCUUUUGCAGUAGUGUCACAUUGUUCUCAUUGAAAGUCAUAUCAUUAUACACUCCUAGCAGCAAUGCUGAAAAGAGCCUGUUUCCCACGCUAUUGCUAAUCAAGCUUGUCAGAUUUUUAGUCUUUACAAAUCUAAUAACUGAAAAAUGGCUAUCAUGGUGUAGUCUCAAUUUGCAUUUCUGCUAGAAUGCAGGUUGAACCUCUUAUUAAUAGCCACUUACAUAGGAAUUCUCUUCAUAUCCUUUGCUUAUUUUUUCGGAUAAAUUGUUUGCUUUCUCUUACUGAUGAAAUUGGCUCUUUGUCAGUGCUAUGAGAUAUUUCUUUUGUCUAUGUUUAUGGUAUAUCUUUCCAUAUAGGUUUUUUUUCUUUUUAGUAUAAAUGGGUUUUUUUUCCUAUAACUUCAGGGGUUUGCUUUCCACACAGGCUUUUCAACAGCCUUAACUGUGUUCCUACUUCCACUGUUGCAUUUACAAAAUGAUCUUUUUAGUUUGGGGGUUUGGUAUGUCAAAGGAUAAUGAGACAACCAUCCAAUGUAUAAACUGAAAAAGACAAAAUUGAAUUUAUUGUGUACUCUUGUGGGGGAGAGCUGUGCAGUAAGCCCAGUCUCACCAAGCAGAGUGGUCUGUGGAUCUUAUUUAGGGAUUAUGGGAAGUAUGGGGUUCAAGGACAGGUGCUUUUAGGAUGCAAGAGGUUUGAACAUCAUCUGUCUAAUUUCAUUAGCUAAUACCUCUAGUUCAUUGUUAGAUAGCAGUGGGAAUUCUUACCUUUGACUUGGGAUAAAUACUAAAUGAACAAAAAAAAGAGAAGGGAAGAAGGGAAAGCUCUUCCUGACAGUGGAAUAAUAAGCGUAGAAGAAACGAUGGAAGUAGUACAUCAUAAUUUAGGAACUAUCCUAGUAUUGAUUCAGGCAAGAAUCAUCGAUGUUUGCUAAAAUUAGUGGAUGAAAUUUUGAAGAGUGAUAAAAUACAUACAUAAUCUCAAAGUAUCUCUUCACAAGACAUUUACUAAUUAUAAAGAGAAAAAAACAAUCCAAGUGUUCCCUGGUGGCUCAGUGAGUUAAGGAUCCUGCAUCGUUUCUGCUGUGGUGUGAGUUUGAUCUCCCUCUCAGGAACUUCAUGCACCGUGGGCACGGCCCAAAAAAAUGCAAAAACCCAGCAUGUGCCUCCUUAACCAAAAAGUUAAUAUUUCCAGUACCGAGGUAAACUGACAUCAUGUGCCUUUCGAUUUUAUGCACUGCAAUGGACACGGUCCUCUGCUGUGGACCUACCAAAAGUUUGCUUUGGACCUACGCCUAGAUCUAAUCAUGAGGAAAUAUCAGACAAAUCCACAUCAAGUUAUAUUGUGCAAAAUAACUGGCCUGUACUCAAAAAAGUCAAUGUCAUAGAAGACUAAGGAACUGUUCCUGAGUAAAGCAGACUAAAGGGACAUAACCACUGAAUGCAAUACGUGAUCCAGAACUUCUUUAGGUGUAAGAAACAUUAUUGGGUCAGUUGAUUAAAUCUGAAUAACGUCCAUGAUCAGAUAAUUUAAACUUAAUGUCAAUUUCUUGAUUUUGACCAUCACACUGUGGUUAUGAAAGAGAAAAUACUUCAUUUCAGAAAACACACACUGAGAUGUUUGGUACCAACUUACCUGCCACUUAGUUUCAAAUCAUUCCCAAAAAUGUGUAUGUGUGUGUGGACACACACAUAUAUCUGUGAAUAUAUGAAUGCAGAAGGAGAGAAAGAAGUCAAAUGUAAAAUGUUAACAUUUGGGGGAUCUGGGUACAAAAUAUAUGGGAAUACUUUGUUCUGGUCUUACAGCUUUUCUGUAGGUCUGAAAUUAUGUCCACCACACUCUGACCUGGGGAGAGGACCCAGCUUUGAAAUAAGGCUGAAGUGGAUGGCAACUCUCUCCUAAAUCCAGGAGAGAGUUGCACCAGUGCCUGAUGUAACAAGGAAAGUGUACUUCCUUGGAAAAAUCCAUUUCUGCUUACACAACAAACAUGUUCAUGCUCUCUGCAUUGAUCUAUUAUGAGUCAAGCACAUUGCCCUUAUUUUAUAAUUACUGAGUGAUGGGAAAAUGGAGAUGACCAUAUAGGUAUAGACUUUUAUCAUCUGGCCAGGAACAAGGCUAUUGGAUUGACCAACCGGUUUCAUUGGUGUGGGGGGUAGCUGCAGCCUCUAGGGCAAAGUUAGCCCACAUACAGAAAAGAGGAUAGGGUUCACUCAAAUCUCUAAGUUCUAGAUUCAGCUUUGACCUGCCUUUACUUCCCACCAUGCCUCCUGAGGGCUGUGUGGGUCAAAACAUUCCCUUACGCUUGUCCCAUUCUGAAGCCAAGCUGGAAACCACAUAGUCCUCUUAAGUGCCUUCUUUCCCUCCUAGGUCCACCCCAGCCCCGUUUCCCCACCAAGCAGUGUAUUUCUAACGUGGGACAAGAGAGAGGGAAUGUUGGGUUCUUGGGAGCCCAGAAGCAGUGAUAAGUGAGCUUGAUCUCAAAGAAUGGAGAAGAUUGAUGGGGGAGGGGGAAGGAGGGGGAGGAGAUUGAAGGUGUUUCAGGCAAAAGCAACAUGACAAGUAUAAAUAUAAUAAAAUUCAUUGAGUUUAAAAAAUAUACAAAGGCUUAGAACAAGAUUAAAAAUCACAUCAAUUGCCAAACCAGCUGUAUCCAAUUCUAAAUAAAGAUGUGCCAAAGAAAGCUUUGGAAGUCUGAUAAAAUAACUAGAUUGAGUUAAAUCAUGGGACUAGAAGUCUGGUUUUUCCGUUUAUCAACUCAUGAAAAAUAUAGUCUCUGGUCAAGUUUAGAUAAUCACAGGAAUGAAAAAUUUGUAGAUUCUUAUUUGAAUGAGGAACCAAUUUUAAGAGAAAAAAAUAUGUGCUUUAGUAGUGAAAGAUUGCCUUUAUGUUUUAGAGUUUAAUUGGCAAAACUAGUGGCCCAGAUCAUGGAAAGGCAUCCACUAGGAGGUCUGGGGAGCCUCGGGUAAUUCAAGUACUUAUUGUUUCUUAACUGCCUUCUCUUACUCUUUCUCCUCUUUUGGCAUUACCUUCCAUGACCUGAGAUGCUGUGUCUUUCACACAUGUUGCCUGGUGCCUUGCCUUCGACUGUCCCCUGUAUGGAGAAAUCUCUUCCUUCACCUCUAGGCUCUGGGACUCAGGUAACGUUCCUGUUCAUUCAUUAACAUUUCUCUCAGCAAUACAUUUGCAAGGAGGUCUACUCUGAAUAUCUACUUCCUUUGUCCACAACCUAAGUUUCACUCAUUUAUGAGGAACAGUAGCAUGAUAUAAAGCUGAAAUGAUGUCUUCAUAAAUCAUAAUUUUAAAAGUUGAUUGAAAUAGAAGUGGGUUUUUUUCAGUAAGAAAAGAUGUUUACCAUAUGAUUUGAGCUCAUUGCAGGUUUCUGCACCUUAAUUUUCCUAUAAUAAAAAUCAUAUGUGUGACCUGCAUACUUUAUUGGAAUGCCAAAGUUAUAGCGGGAUUUUUAAGCAUGUCUAUGUCCUCAUAUAGGAAAAAAUAUGAAGAGUAAAUACUAGUCUUAAUGUCUUUGGGGUACAAAGUCUCGAAUCUAACAUCGUUAAAGCCAAGGAGUAGUCUUUAUCGAUCAGACCCUCUGCAGCCAAACUUUUUUUAAAGGUAUGUUUGUAUGCUCAAUAAAGAAUUUUUUUAUUAUAUAGCAAAAUACAUAAGAACCAGUUAGAUUUAUUUUAUACACUUCCAGUGUAAUAAUUCUAUUCUCUUAUUUGAUCAUGGCACACUUGAGUCCUGAAGGAGCAGAAUAAAUAAUUCACUGGGGUUCCAUAAAAAUUAGUGAACAGAUUAAACCACUAGUUAAAAGAAAGAGAUUGUGAAAGAUGUUAUAUUAUUUAUAUGUGAUCAUUCCACCAAAUGAAAAAAUUCAUUAAAAAUGCAAAAAUCAGAGUUCCAAAAGUUGUGGCUCAGCAGAGAUGAAUUUGACUGAUAUCCAUGAGGUCAUAGGUUUGAUCCCUGGCCUCACUAGGUGGGUUAAGCAUCUGGUGUUGCCGUGAGCUAUGGUGUAGGUCGCAGACACGGCUCAGAUCAUGCAUUGCUGUGGCUGUGGCUGUGGCGUAGGCUGGCAGCUACAGCUCCAAUUUGACCCCUUGCCUAGGAACC
This 5232-nucleotide long non-coding RNA is filed under the name Sus scrofa (pig). Its description in RNAcentral is "lncRNA (ENSSSCG00000062197.1)". Lineage: Eukaryota; Metazoa; Chordata; Mammalia; Artiodactyla; Suidae. The record is from RNAcentral.